Long non-coding RNA from Alexandromys fortis (reed vole), 2062 nucleotides. RefSeq lists it as uncharacterized. Lineage: Eukaryota; Metazoa; Chordata; Mammalia; Rodentia; Cricetidae. The record is from RefSeq and is a predicted model, not a curated record. The transcript has 2 exons.
AAACGAAAUAAAAACAUUAUCAGGUACAUUUCUUAAAGUACCUCCAUACAUCAUAGUUAGGAAGAUGUUGAAAGUUUUCAGUAAAAUAAAUACAUCCAGAAAGAAAAACGAGGGAAAUAUGACUCCCUCGGGGAGUUUAAAAAGAAAUCUCUAGGAUAAAAAAUGGAUAAUGAAUAAUGGUAAAUAAUGUCUAGAAUAAUGGUGGAAAUGGAUAAUGGUAAAUUGGCUUCUAGACAGACACUCAUAUAGUCAGCCUGGCGACCUUAGAAAGCAUCCGCUGUUCAACAGCGUCAAGGCGGAAGAGGACAUUCUUCGCUGCACUCUCAGACAUGUAAUCAAGUUUCAAUGAUGAAAGACAGAAGGGUGGGGACAAAACUCUUCUAGGAGAAAGAACGGGCUGCAGAACAGGAAUAAAAUCCAGUCGUCUACACUGGUCAGGUUGUGGAGAGUUAGAUAACACGCACAACUAACACCGACACAAAAGCAGAAGGGAGAGCCUUUACCUGAAUCAAGACGGGGGUGGGCUGGCAGCAGAACUUACGUCUGUUUUCAGUUUUAAGCCUUAUUCUACUCUGUGAUCUCCAAGCAUACUCAUAUAAUUUUUUUCAUAAUAUUACAAUGUAAUUAAAUAACAAUGAUAAGCAGAAACAUGAAGGAAAGACAACUCAAAGUUUUUAAUUUCUAUUUUCUCUGACUCUGAGCUACUUCAAGCAAAGGUAAGAGGGAGAAACACAAAUUGUAGGUCUUCUAACAGAACCUGCUCUCCUGGGCGGGCAGCAGAGGUGAAGGUCUCUGAAUUAAGCAAUAUACAGCGUUGGUUAUGCUGUAUGUUGGUUAUGCUCCAUACUCCUGUCCUAUAAAGCACUCUCACACAUAACUUGUAGAAUAAAUUGUAUUACUUUCUUCCUUUAAAUGCUAUUCAUAAGUACUUGUGGACAUAUUUGAAUGUUUGUCUCCUCAUUUUUUAUUAAUAUAAAAACUGAGUAUGCCAGGUUGUCAUAGAAUACACCUUUAAUCCUAGCACUCAGGAGGCAGAGGCAGGCAGAUCACUGUGAGUUUGAGCCCAUUCUGGUCUACUGAGAGAGUUCCAGGACAGCCAGGACUAUUAAAGAAACUUUGUCUCAAAAAAAAAAAAAAAAAAAAAAACCUGAAUAGUCAAUAUGUAACUUUCCCUAAGCCACCCCAAAAGUAAAAGUGGCCCCAGAACUCAUAGCCAUAUCCAUGACUGAAAACCCCAUUUUCCCAUUACUCUAUAGCUUUGUAUUUUUAACUCAUUGAAUAAAUAUUUAUUUAUCUGCUUUCCAUGUUCUAGGAUAUUAUGGAUGCUGAAAAGUAAUCUGUAAAAUGAAGAGAUUCUUUGUAUAGCCCUGGCUGUCCUGAAACUCGCUCUGCAGACCAGGCUGCCCUCAAACUCAGAGAUCCACCUGCCUAUGCCUCCUGAGUGCUGGGAUUGAAAGCAUGUGCCAUCACCACCCAGCUAGCCUUCUUUCUUUAGUGAUGAUUACCAUCCAUUUCUGUGCCUUUUACUGGGUGGGACACAAUUUCAUUCCCUAUGCGUGGCUCUAUGUACCUCCCUCUUGUCAUUGAGCAAAUACCUAAACUGACACUUUUAGAGCAUUCAUACAAGCCGGCUGGUCCGCUCUUGAAUUUCUUCCUCUGGUAGAGGAUGGAAAAACUGAGUUUUUCUAGAAACCAAUCUAGGUCAGCUGACACAGCCAACCUCCACAUGAGGGAAGAAGUUAAGCUCAUGAGAAUGGCCAAGCUGAAACUUUUCCCGUCACUGUUUGUUUAGUACUGUGUGCCCCUGACACAAAAACACAAGUGUAUUAAUGUAUAAAACAAAUGUCUUUACAAUCGCUGUAUGGAUUUACUUUUCUUUUAAAACCUCUGUGUAUUUCUAAUAAUUGUGGACACUUGAAACAUUACAUGAUUAACUAUACCACUACAACUACAGGGAGUAAUUUCUCAUAAAAUGGGGAAGUGGAGCUGAAUCUCAUAUAAGGGAAAUUUAUUGACUGAAUUCUACUUUGCUAAAUAAAACCAGUCUCUGCUUUUUACUUAA